RNAcentral lists this ribosomal RNA (484 nucleotides) under uncultured bacterium. Its description in RNAcentral is "partial 16S ribosomal RNA". It matches the Rfam family "Bacterial small subunit ribosomal RNA", at positions 30 to 507 of the family's 1533-position model. The record is from RNAcentral.
AUUGAACGCUGGCGGCAGGCCUAACACAUGCAAGUCGAGCGGAUGAAGGGAGCUUGCUCCUAGAUUCAGCGGCGGACGGGUGAGUAAUGCCUAGGAAUCUGCCUGGUAGUGGGGGAUAACGUCCGGAAACGGGCGCUAAUACCGCAUACGUCCUGAGGGAGAAAGUGGGGGAUCUUCGGACCUCGCGCUAUCAGAUGAGCCUAGGUCGGAUUAGCUAGUUGGUGGGGUAAAGGCCUACCAAGGCGACGAUCCGUAACUGGUCUGAGAGGAUGAUCAGUCACACUGGAACUGAGACACGGUCCAGACUCCUACGGGAGGCAGCAGUGGGGAAUAUUGGACAAUGGGCGAAAGCCUGAUCCAGCCAUGCCGCGUGUGUGAAGAAGGUCUUCGGAUUGUAAAGCACUUUAAGUUGGGAGGAAGGGCAGUAAGUUAAUACCUUGCUGUUUUGACGUUACCAACAGAAUAAGCACCGGCUAACUUCGUG